Molecule: ribosomal RNA, 400 nt
Filed under: phytoplankton environmental sample
Lineage: Eukaryota
Description: partial small subunit ribosomal RNA
Rfam family: Eukaryotic small subunit ribosomal RNA
Source: RNAcentral
AGCUCCAAUAGCAUAUAUUAAAGUUGUUGCAGUUAAAAAGCUCGUAGUUGGAUUUCUGGCAUGAUGCGCCUGGCCCGCCUCGAUUACGAGUGUGUGUGCGAGCGCGCGUCUGCCAUCCAUUUGCAGAAUAUAUCUACCCUUCAUUGGGCCGGAUAUGUGAUGUAAAUCUUUUACUUUGAAAAAAUUAGAGUGUUUAAAGCAGGCAUUUGCUAUGAAUACAUUAGCAUGGAAUAAUAAUCUAGGACUUCGGUUCUAUUUUGUUGGUUUCUAGAUCUGAAGUAAUGAUUGAUAGGGAUAGUUGGGGGUGCUAGUAUUAAGGGGCCAGAGGUGAAAUUCUUGGAUUCUCUUAAGACUAACUUAUGCGAAAGCAUUCACCAAGGAUGUCUUCUUUAAUCAAGAA